GCCAGCGUGGCUCAGUGGUAGAGCAAUGCUUUCGUAAAGCAUGGGUCGUGGGUUCAAUUCCCACCGCUGGCU
This 72-nucleotide transfer RNA is filed under the name Candidatus Daviesbacteria bacterium. RNAcentral's name for it is "tRNA-Thr". It matches the Rfam family "tRNA". Rfam says of the family: Transfer RNA (tRNA) molecules are approximately 80 nucleotides in length. Their secondary structure includes four short double-helical elements and three loops (D, anti-codon, and T loops). Further hydrogen bonds mediate the characteristic L-shaped molecular structure. tRNAs have two regions of fundamental functional importance: the anti-codon, which is responsible for specific mRNA codon recognition, and the 3' end, to which the tRNAs corresponding amino acid is attached (by aminoacyl-tRNA synthetases). tRNAs cope with the degeneracy of the genetic code in two manners: having more than one tRNA (with a specific anti-codon) for a particular amino acid; and 'wobble' base-pairing, i.e. permitting non-standard base-pairing at the 3rd anti-codon position. The record is from RNAcentral. Lineage: Bacteria; Candidatus Daviesiibacteriota.